AGUGAACGCUGGCGGUAGGCCUAACACAUGCAAGUCGAACGGCAGCACAGGAGAGCUUGCUCUCUGGGUGGCGAGUGGCGGACGGGUGAGGAAUACAUCGGAAUCUACUUUUUCGUGGGGGAUAACGUAGGGAAACUUACGCUAAUACCGCAUACGACCUACGGGUGAAAGCAGGGGACCUUCGGGCCUUGCGCGAUUGAAUGAGCCGAUGUCGGAUUAGCUAGUUGGCGGGGUAAAGGCCCACCAAGGCGACGAUCCGUAGCUGGUCUGAGAGGGUGAUCAGCCAGACUGGAACUGAGACACGGUCCAGACUCCUACGGGAGGCAGCAGUGGGGAAUAUUGGACAAUGGGCGCAAGCCUGAUCCAGCCAUACCGCGUGGGUGAAGAAGGCCUUCGGGUUGUAAAGCCCUUUUGUUGGGAAAGAAAUCCAGCUGGCUAAUACCCGGUUGGGAUGACGGUACCCAAAGAAUAAGCACCGGCUAACUUCGUGCCAGCAGCCGCCGUAA
Molecule: ribosomal RNA, 506 nt
Filed under: uncultured bacterium
Lineage: Bacteria
Description: partial 16S ribosomal RNA
Rfam family: Bacterial small subunit ribosomal RNA
Source: RNAcentral